Molecule: long non-coding RNA, 708 nt
Filed under: Rattus norvegicus (Norway rat)
Lineage: Eukaryota; Metazoa; Chordata; Mammalia; Rodentia; Muridae
Description: long non-coding RNA NONRATT018248
Source: RNAcentral
GCAUUUCGGAGCAGGUGUGACACUUGAGAGUUCGGUCAUUUGGAGGAAUGCACUCCAGGGCUCACAAUGUGGAGAUAAGAUCUCAUUUCCUGAAGCUAGUAGAGGCCUGUGCACUCUUUCAGGGGCUGGGCUCAGUUUAUCUCAAGACUUGCUUCCUUGAAUUAGGAAAUAAUUCUGGAGUGUUUUCCCUCACAGUUCAGUUCUAAAUGAUGCCAGGCUCCUUAUCUCGCCAGACCCCAGUAGCUAGCCUGGUCUCCUGCUCCGCUAAAGCAGUAGGACAGAGUACCUUAGUAGACCCAUGGUCACUCCCCGGUUCCCCAACCAGCCAGUCUCUGGGAUAAACUGGUCCUAAGCAGUCCAGCCUUCGGAUGUCUCCGUGCCUUGCAUUAAGUUCCAAGAGACACCAGUCCAGUUUUCCCCAAUCCCAACCCCGACGCACAACCGCAGCGAUCACUUACAUGGGCAAGGCCCGCAAGGCGAAGAGACCUUCGGUUCAGAUGGCAUCCAAGCGGCUCCGUUGGGCGCACAGGACGACACUCCACACCCCAAAACAGGCGCUAAGGAGGAGCAAUUAAAAUCACGAAUACGACAUGAAGACCAGGACGAGCAGAGUUGGCGUUCUUAGUUGGUUGGUGCUACAAAGCCUCACCGUGUGGUUCGGCGAUUAAGUAAAAAUAAAAACCUUUCUCAGGCGUUGGCAAACCCUUU